UGGGUCAAUCUGCCUGAAGCCUGCACAGC
RNAcentral lists this non-coding RNA (29 nucleotides) under Mus musculus (house mouse). Lineage: Eukaryota; Metazoa; Chordata; Mammalia; Rodentia; Muridae. The record is from RNAcentral.